Myotis lucifugus (little brown bat) is the source of this 348-nucleotide long non-coding RNA. RefSeq lists it as uncharacterized. The transcript has 2 exons. Lineage: Eukaryota; Metazoa; Chordata; Mammalia; Chiroptera; Vespertilionidae. The record is from RefSeq and is a predicted model, not a curated record.
GCCAGGGCCACACCUACUUCUUUUCCUGAGACCAACUACAAAACGCAUUCUUGUCGGUUGUCUCGGUUUCGCUUAUAAAUCGAGACGCGGCAGUAGAUGUAACCACGGAAAAAGACGGAAUGAAACAGACCGAUCUGUUGUCAGGAUCCAUGGCCUCUGAUCCUGUCUUGACCGUGAAACGGAAGUGUGCCACAUAUUCUUGCUAAAAAGCUUAUGAGGAUAUAGGCUCAACGAAGGAAUGUAAACAGCGACACCCAGAUGUGGGUGUAAGGAUGGCGGGUUCUUUCUUCAAUGUUUCACAGUCAUUUGUUUAAGAUCAUCGAAUAAAGACGAAAAUCCACACCGAAA